UACUGGAAGAAUGUUCCCUCGGUUGUUAGUGCCACCACGUGCCAGCCGCAGACACGACAGACACGCCUGCAAAGUGCAUUACCAACGUUUCCCGCUUCAGAUGUGGAAACUGAGGCUGGCUGCCAAGAGACGGAGGCAACACCAAUGUCCAGGCUUUUUCUGCAGAGUCUCGGCACCACCCUGGAAACAGCUCGCAGGGCUUGCUCCACGCACCCCGGAAGCUCUUGGAUUUUAGUGCAUACGAUUUUGGAACUGUAUUUACCAUUCCCCUAAUUAAAACUGACAUCCCCUAAAGAGACGGCCAGCAACUUGA
Long non-coding RNA from Suricata suricatta (meerkat), 313 nucleotides. RefSeq lists it as uncharacterized. The record is from RefSeq and is a predicted model, not a curated record. NCBI's taxonomy places the organism in Eukaryota, Metazoa, Chordata, Mammalia, Carnivora, Herpestidae. The transcript has 2 exons.